AUACGGGAGGCAGCAGUUGGGAAUCUUGCGCAAUGGGGGAAACCCUGACGCAGCGACGCCGCGUGCGGGAUGACGGCCUUCGGGUUGUAAACCGCUUUUCCCAGGGACGAUAAUGACGGUACCUGGGGAAUAAGCCCCGGCUAACUCCGUGCCAGCAGCCGCGGUAAGACGGAGGGGGCAAGCGUUGUCCGGAAUUACUGGGCGUAAAGCGCACGUAGGCGGUCGUGUACGGCGGUGGUGAAAGCUCCCGGCUCAACUGGGAGAGGCCCAUCGCAACGGCGCGACUCGAGGGUGGUAGAGGCGGAUGGAAUUCCUGGUGUAGCGGUGAAAUGCGUAGAGAUCAGGAGGAACACCCGUGGCGAAGGCGGUCCGCUGGGCCAUGCCUGACGCUGAGGUGCGAAAGCCAGGGGAGCGAACGGGAUUAGAUACCCGCGUAGUCCC
Molecule: ribosomal RNA, 441 nt
Filed under: uncultured bacterium
Lineage: Bacteria
Description: bacterial SSU rRNA
Rfam family: Bacterial small subunit ribosomal RNA
Source: RNAcentral